This 253-nucleotide ribosomal RNA is filed under the name uncultured bacterium. Its description in RNAcentral is "partial 16S ribosomal RNA". It matches the Rfam family "Bacterial small subunit ribosomal RNA", at positions 524 to 776 of the family's 1533-position model. The record is from RNAcentral.
UACGUAGGCAGCAAGCGUUGUUCGGAAUUACUGGGCGUAAAGGGCUCGUAGGUGGCCAACUAAGUCAGACGUGAAAUCCCUCGGCUUAACCGGGGAACUGCGUCUGAUACUGGAUGGCUUGAGUGUGGGAGAGGGAUGCGGAAUUCCAGGUGUAGCGGUGAAAUGCGUAGAUAUCUGGAAGAACACCCGUGGCUAAGGCGGCUCUCUAGUACGGUACUGACGCUGAGACGCGAAAGCGUGGGGAGCGAACAGG